CUCUGUCAGUAUGAGACACACCACACCAUGAAAUGUUUCUUUUCCCCCCUCAAAAUGCACAGGUUGCCAGGAAAAAAAGGAAUAUGCAAUGGAGAUUGUUAAUAUGGAUAUAUCCUGACACAGCGUACCUUUUGAGAAAAUAAAUACACAACAUUUUGACCUGAAGGACAAUUAACAGUGCCAUGAAUUACUGAGGACAGGUAGAGUGGCAGGGUGCAGAGAAUCAAGCAGUCCAUCCUGAGAUCAUGCAAAGCCUUUGGAAACACAAUUCCAGUGAGUCCUGGCUAUAACACUUUUGAUGCCCACGUCACCAGCAGCAGUCCUACAAGCACCAACGGGUGGAUGCUGUGGGGGGGUCCAAGCCGCUCUGUGGAACAGUCUGCAGUGGGCUAGUAGGAUGAGAAGGUCCAGGGGUAGUUUGGGAAACGAGGAGAAGCAUCACCUCCCGAGACGGUAAACCUCCUGAAAAGGUAAUUCAUGGUAGGGCAUUGUUAUGCAAGUCAGCUUUUCAGGCUCCGUGGAUAGGCUGGAAUGCAUGGCAGAAAACUGGUAGAGAAGGGGAGCACAAGCCUCUGCUGUUGUCUGACAGUUCAUACACAGUCUUCUGAAUCCAGAGCUUCUUAAACUGUGCUGAGUUUCAGUUCCCAUCCUUGUGUGGGAGAGAAUUUAGAUGCUGCAUCUUACAAGGGUUUUCUUGUUUUCCUGUGGACCUGUUAGAGAAUACAAGUCACAAAUUUACAGUAACUUUCCAAGAAAUUCCUUAUUGGAAUGAAAACCCUGAAAAUACCAGCUUAUAAACUCUAUAACAAUUUAACAGAGUAAAAUGUUCUUUCACAGGGAGAGUUAAUAGCUGAAUUUUUAAAAGUACAUUAUCUUGUUUUAUUGGGUUCUUUCAAUCUCAGCUACCGUGCUUGUGGAGACUCUCUUCCUACCCUGAAACCUUAAUUAUGGGUGUUUGUGUUCCUAGCAUUUCAGAAGUCCAAGAGAAUGUGCAAACUAAAAAUCUGUCAUUCCUCAGAGUACCUGUAAUGCUUCUUCCUUCAUGUUAAAAGGCAGAGUUGAGGCAUGAAGCAUCAAAACAUUUUCUGCUGUCCCAAAAGCCCAGCUAUAGGUGUGUAUUUGAGCCCCACUAACUGAUCAUAUGUUCCUGCUGUAUACACAUUUCUUGGUUCUCAGCUAAAAUUAAGUUUGCUGAACAAACAGAUUUUGUUCACUCAUCCUAAACCGAUCAUUUCCCAUGGUACAUUUUGAAAUAUCUGACAGGCUGUCUUGUUUCUUUUCUUUAUUAAUGCAUCUUAAUGUAUGCAGAGUGCAAGAAAAAUAACAGUGGAAAAUCAUACUAGUAGAAAAUAAAAUGAGAUUUUUGAUGCA
This 1371-nucleotide long non-coding RNA is filed under the name Cyanistes caeruleus (blue tit). RNAcentral describes it as "lncRNA (ENSCCEG00000002272.1)". The record is from RNAcentral. Lineage: Eukaryota; Metazoa; Chordata; Aves; Passeriformes; Paridae.